UACGUAGGUGGCGAGCGUUGUCCGGAAUUACUGGGCGUAAAGGGCGCGUAGGCGGAUAUUUAAGUCAGAUGUGAAAACUCCGGGCUCAACUUGGAGAUUGCAUUUGAAACUGGGUAUCUUGAGGACAGGAGAGGAAAGCGGAAUUCCUAGUGUAGCGGUGAAAUGCGUAGAUAUUAGGAGGAACACCAGUGGCGAAGGCGGCUUUCUGGACUGUAACUGACGCUGAGGCGCGAAAGCGUGGGGAGCAAACGGGAUUAGAUACCCCUGUAGUCCCUGA
RNAcentral lists this ribosomal RNA (277 nucleotides) under uncultured prokaryote. RNAcentral's name for it is "partial 16S ribosomal RNA". It matches the Rfam family "Bacterial small subunit ribosomal RNA", at positions 524 to 800 of the family's 1533-position model. The record is from RNAcentral.